UCCUGCCGGACCUGACUGCUAUUGGAUUGAUAUUAAGCCAUGCGAGUCAUUGUAGCAAUACAAGGCAUACUGCUCAGUAACACGUAGUUAAUCUACCCUGUGGACGAGGAUAACCUCGGGAAACUGAGAAUAAUACUCGAUAGAUCAUUAUGCUUGGAAUAGUUUGUGAUUUAAAUGAUUUCGCCAUAGGAUGAGACUGCGGCCUAUCAGCUAGUUGGUGUGGUAAUGGCUCACCAAGGCUAUAACAGGUACGGGCUCUGAGAGGAGAAGCUCGGAGAUGGGUACUGAGACACUGACCCAGGCCCUAUGGGGCGCAGCAGGCGAGAAAACUUUGCAAUGUGCGAAAGCACGACAAGGUUAAUCCAAGUAAUUUCUGCUAAAGAAAUCUUUUGUUAGUUUUAAAAAUACUGAUGAAUAAGGGGUGGGCAAGUUCUGGUGUCAGCCGCCGCGGUAAAACCAGCACCUCAAGUGGUCAGGAUGAUUAUUGGGCCUAAAGCAUCCGUAGCCUGUUGUGUAAGUUUUCGGUUAAAUCCAUGUGCUUAACAUAUGGGCAGCUGGAAAUACUAUACGACUAGGGAGUGGGAGAGGUAGACGGUACUCGAUAGGAAGGGGUAAAAUCCUUUGAUCUAUUGAUGACCACCAGUGGCGAAGGCGGUCUACCAGAACACGUUCGACGGUGAGGGAUGAAAGCUGGGGGAGCAAACCGGAUUAGAUACCCGGGUAGUCCCAGCUGUAAACAAUGCAAACUCAGUGAUGCGUUGGCUUAUAGCUAACGCAGUGCUGCAGGGAAGCCGUUAAGUUUGCCGCCUGGGAAGUACGUACGCAAGUAUGAAACUUAAAGGAAUUGGCGGGGGAGCACCACAAGGGGUGAAGCCUGCGGUUCAAUUGGAGUCAACGCCG
This 900-nucleotide ribosomal RNA is filed under the name uncultured crenarchaeote. RNAcentral's name for it is "bacterial SSU rRNA". It matches the Rfam family "Archaeal small subunit ribosomal RNA", at positions 12 to 920 of the family's 1478-position model. The record is from RNAcentral. Lineage: Archaea; Thermoproteati; Thermoproteota.